This 502-nucleotide ribosomal RNA is filed under the name uncultured bacterium. Its description in RNAcentral is "partial 16S ribosomal RNA". It matches the Rfam family "Bacterial small subunit ribosomal RNA", at positions 29 to 507 of the family's 1533-position model. The record is from RNAcentral.
ACGAACGCUGGCGGCGUGCCUCACACAUGCCAGUCGAACGAGAAAGGGGCUUCGGCUCCGAGUAAAGUGGCGCACGGGUGAGUAACACGUGGGUAACCUGCCUCUAAGAUUGGGAUAACUCGUCGAAAGAUGAGCUAAUACCGAAUAAGACCACAGUUCCCGCGGGAACAGGGGUCAAAGGUAGCCUCUGCUUGCAAGCUAUCACUUAGAGAUGGGCCUGCGCACCAUUAGCUAGUUGGUAGGGUAACGGCCUACCAAGGCAAAGAUGGUUAGCUGGUCUGAGAGGAUGAUCAGCCACACUGGAACUGAGACACGGUCCAGACUCCUACGGGAGGCAGCAGUGGGGAAUAUUGCGCAAUGGGCGAAAGCUUGACGCAGCAACGCCGCGUGAGUGAUGAAGGCCUUCGGGUCGUAAAGCUCUGUCUGGAGGAACGAAUGCUCCUGAGGUUAACAGCCUCGGGAGGUGACGGUACCUUCAAAGGAAGCACCGGCUAACUCUGUG